Molecule: ribosomal RNA, 460 nt
Filed under: uncultured bacterium
Lineage: Bacteria
Description: partial 16S ribosomal RNA
Rfam family: Bacterial small subunit ribosomal RNA
Source: RNAcentral
CCUACGGGCGGCAGCAGUGAGGAAUAUUGGUCAAUGGACGAGAGUCUGAACCAGCCAAGUAGCGUGAAGGAUGACUGCCCUAUGGGUUGUAAACUUCUUUUAUAUGGGAAUAAAAUGUUCCACGUGUGGGAUUUUGUAUGUACCAUAUGAAUAAGGAUCGGCUAACUCCGUGCCAGCAGCCGCGGUAAUACGGAGGAUCCGAGCGUUAUCCGGAUUUAUUGGGUUUAAAGGGGGCGUAGGUGGAUUGUUAAGUCAGUUGUGAAAGUUGGGGGCUCAACCGUAAAAUUGCAGUUGAAACUGGCAGUCUUGAGUACAGUAGAGGUGGGCGGAAUUCGUGGUGUAGCGGUGAAAUGCUUAGAUAUCACGAAGAACUCCGAUUGCGAAGGCAGCUCACUGGACUGCAACUGACGCUGAGGCUCGAAAGUGUGGGUAGCAAACAGGAUUAGAUACCCGAGUAGUC